GGGGAUGUGGCUCAGUGGUAGAGUGUCUGCCUGGCAUGCAUGAGGUCCUGGGUUCAAUCCUCAGCACCACAA
This 72-nucleotide transfer RNA is filed under the name Urocitellus parryii (Arctic ground squirrel). Its description in RNAcentral is "Spermophilus parryii (Arctic ground squirrel) tRNA". It matches the Rfam family "tRNA". Rfam says of the family: Transfer RNA (tRNA) molecules are approximately 80 nucleotides in length. Lineage: Eukaryota; Metazoa; Chordata; Mammalia; Rodentia; Sciuridae. The record is from Rfam by way of RNAcentral. RNAcentral also lists the same sequence under 1 other name.